RNAcentral lists this ribosomal RNA (1261 nucleotides) under metagenome. RNAcentral describes it as "bacterial LSU rRNA". It matches the Rfam family "Bacterial large subunit ribosomal RNA", at positions 1626 to 2877 of the family's 2925-position model. The record is from RNAcentral.
CUUCAGUCAUACGAGACCGUACCGCAAACCGACACAGGUGGGCGAGAUGAGUAUUCUAAGGCGCUUGAGAGAACUCGGGAGAAGGAACUCGGCAAAUUGGUACCGUAACUUCGGGAAAAGGUACGCCCUUGUAGUUUGACCACUUUACUGUGGAAGGAUGAACGGGUUGCAAUAAACUGGUGGCUGCGACUGUUUAAUAAAAACACAGCACUCUGCAAACACGAAAGUGGACGUAUAGGGUGUGACGCCUGCCCGGUGCUGGAAGAUUAAAUGAUGGGGUGCAAGCUCUUGAUUGAAGUCCCAGUAAACGGCGGCCGUAACAAUAACGGUCCUAAGGUAGCGAAAUUCCUUGUCGGGUAAGUUCCGACCUGCACGAAUGGCGUAACGAUGGCCACACUGUCUCCUCCCGAGACUCAGCGAAGUUGAAAUGUUUGUGAUGAUGCAAUCUACCCGCGGCUAGACGGAAAGACCCCAUGAACCUUUACUGUAGCUUUGCAUUGGACUUUGAACCAAUCUGUGUAGGAUAGGUGGGAGGCUUAGAAGCGGUGACGCCAGUCAUCGUGGAGCCAACCUUGAAAUACCACCCUGGUUUGUUUGAGGUUCUAACCUUGGUCCGUUAUCCGGAUCGGGGACAGUGCAUGGUAGGCAGUUUGACUGGGGCGGUCUCCUCCUAAAGUGUAACGGAGGAGUUCGAAGGUACGCUAAUUACGGUCGGACAUCGUGAUGAUAGUGCAAUGGCAUAAGCGUGCUUAACUGCGAGACCGACAAGUCGAGCAGGUACGAAAGUAGGACAUAGUGAUCCGGUGGUUCUGUAUGGAAGGGCCAUCGCUCAACGGAUAAAAGGUACUCUGGGGAUAACAGGCUGAUUCCUCCCAAGAGUUCAUAUCGACGGGGGAGUUUGGCACCUCGAUGUCGGCUCAUCACAUCCUGGGGCUGUAGCCGGUCCCAAGGGUAUGGCUGUUCGCCAUUUAAAGUGGUACGUGAGCUGGGUUUAAAACGUCGUGAGACAGUUUGGUCCCUAUCUGCCGUGGGCGUUGGAAAUUUGAAGGGGGCUGCUCCUAGUACGAGAGGACCGGAGUGGACGAACCUCUGGUGUACCGGUUGUCACGCCAGUGGCAUUGCCGGGUAGCUAAGUUCGGAAGAGAUAACCGCUGAAAGCAUCUAAGCGGGAAACUCCCUUGAGAUGAGAUUUCCCAGAGCCUUGAGCUCUUUGAAGGGUCGUUCGAGACCAGGACGUUGAUAGGUCAGGUGUGGAAGUGAA